AAGUCGUAACAAGGUUUCCGUAGGUGAACCUGCGGAAGGAUCAUUAACACGUAUCCAAACGUUAAACCCCCCUGUGAACCUUCAGUCGUACUCGUACGUCCGUAAAUCAUCGCCGAACAGUUUUCGAUUCAGGGACGUCUGCAAGGAGCGUGCAUGUUGUGCGUGUAAGUGGCCUGGCAUCCCCAAGCAGUUAGUGUCUGAAAGUGUCACUAACGUUAGUGUCUGAAAGUGUCACUAACAUGUGUAAGGAUGACGCAGUCACGAUCGUUGGAGGCCCACACGGCCGACGACCGGGUCACUGGGUGCAAGCCCCCUUAUCACACCCCUGCUCUAUCUAUGGUGAUCCUGCGGGAAGUCCUGCGGUCGAACGCCGAAACCGAACAACUGUUAACAAUGGAUAUCUUGGUUCUC
This 411-nucleotide unclassified non-coding RNA is filed under the name fungal sp. RNAcentral describes it as "partial internal transcribed spacer region". The stretch from base 1 to 46 matches the Rfam family "Eukaryotic small subunit ribosomal RNA", at positions 1786 to 1831 of the family's 1831-position model. Lineage: Eukaryota; Fungi. The record is from RNAcentral.